GCGGACAUGGUGGAAUGGUAGACACCGGAGACUUAAAAUCUCUUGCUCGAUCGAGCGUGCGGGUUCGAGUCCCGCUGUCCGCACCA
Molecule: transfer RNA, 86 nt
Filed under: Leisingera sp. ANG59
Lineage: Bacteria; Pseudomonadati; Pseudomonadota; Alphaproteobacteria; Rhodobacterales; Roseobacteraceae
Description: tRNA-Leu
Rfam family: tRNA
About the family: Transfer RNA (tRNA) molecules are approximately 80 nucleotides in length. Their secondary structure includes four short double-helical elements and three loops (D, anti-codon, and T loops). Further hydrogen bonds mediate the characteristic L-shaped molecular structure. tRNAs have two regions of fundamental functional importance: the anti-codon, which is responsible for specific mRNA codon recognition, and the 3' end, to which the tRNAs corresponding amino acid is attached (by aminoacyl-tRNA synthetases). tRNAs cope with the degeneracy of the genetic code in two manners: having more than one tRNA (with a specific anti-codon) for a particular amino acid; and 'wobble' base-pairing, i.e. permitting non-standard base-pairing at the 3rd anti-codon position.
Source: RNAcentral